This 503-nucleotide ribosomal RNA is filed under the name uncultured bacterium. Its description in RNAcentral is "partial 16S ribosomal RNA". It matches the Rfam family "Bacterial small subunit ribosomal RNA", at positions 28 to 523 of the family's 1533-position model. The record is from RNAcentral.
GAUGAACGCUAGCGACAGGCCUAACACAUGCAAGUCGAGGGGCAGCAUACAUGUAGCAAUACAUUGGUGGCGACCGGCGCACGGGUGAGUAUCGCGUAUGCAACCUACCUACUACAGGGGAAUAGCCUUCCGAAAGGGAGAUUAAUACCGCAUAACACAGGGGCUCCGCAUGGAGAUAUUUGUUAAAGAUUUAUCGGUAGUAGAUGGGCAUGCGUUCCAUUAGCUAGUUGGCGGGGUAACGGCUCACCAAGGCAACGAUGGAUAGGGGAACUGAGAGGUUUGUCCCCACACUGGUACUGAGACACGGACCAGACUCCUACGGGAGGCAGCAGUGAGGAAUAUUGGUAAAUGGGCGAGAGCCUGAACCAGCCAAGUCGCGUGAAGGAUGACGGUUCUAUGGAUUGUAAACUUCUUUUGUACGAGGGUAAAGUGGGCUACGUGUAGCUUAUUGCAAGUAUCGUACGAAUAAGCAUCGGCUAACUCCGUGCCAGCAGCCGCCGUAA